This 279-nucleotide ribosomal RNA is filed under the name uncultured prokaryote. RNAcentral describes it as "partial 16S ribosomal RNA". It matches the Rfam family "Bacterial small subunit ribosomal RNA", at positions 524 to 804 of the family's 1533-position model. The record is from RNAcentral.
CACGUAGGAGGAAAACGUUAUCCGGAUUUACUGGGCGUAAAGCGCGUGUAGGUGGUUCUGUAAGUAGGGCGUGAAAGCUCCCGGCUCAACUGGGAGAGGCCGUUCUAAACUGCAGAGCUAGAGGAUGGUAGAGGGAGGUGGAAUUCCAGGUGUAGCGGUGGAAUGCGCAGAUAUCUGGAGGAACACCAGUGGCGAAGGCGGCCUCCUGGACCAUUCCUGACACUCAGACGCGAAAGCUAGGGUAGCAAACGGGAUUAGAUACCCCUCGUAGUCCCUCGA